Molecule: ribosomal RNA, 462 nt
Filed under: uncultured bacterium
Lineage: Bacteria
Description: partial 16S ribosomal RNA
Rfam family: Bacterial small subunit ribosomal RNA
Source: RNAcentral
GACGAACGCUGGCUGCGUGCUUAACACAUGCAAGUCGAGCGGUAAGGCCUUUCGGGGUACACGAGCGGCGAACGGGUGAGUAACACGUGGGUGAUCUGCCCUGCACUUCUGGAUAAGCCUGGGAAACUGGGUCUAAUACCGGAUAUGACCUCCUAUCGCAUGGUGGGUGGUGGAAAGAUUUAUCGGUGCAGGAUGGGCCCGCGGCCUAUCAGCUUGUUUGUGGGGUAAUGGCCUACCAAGGCGACGACGGGUAGCCGACCUGAGAGGGUGACCGGCCACACUGGGACUGAGACACGGCCCAGACUCCUACGGGAGGCAGCAGUGGGGAAUAUUGAACAAUGGGCGAAAGCCUGAUGCAGCGACGCCGCGUGAGGGAUGAAGGCCUUCGGGUUGUAAACCUCUUUCAGCAGGGACGAAGCGCAAGUGACGGUACCUGCAGAAGAAGCACCGGCUAACUACGUG